This 468-nucleotide ribosomal RNA is filed under the name uncultured bacterium. Its description in RNAcentral is "partial 16S ribosomal RNA". It matches the Rfam family "Bacterial small subunit ribosomal RNA", at positions 28 to 507 of the family's 1533-position model. The record is from RNAcentral.
GACGAACGCUGGCGGCGUGCUUAACACAUGCAAGUCGAACGGAAAGGCCCUGCUCUUGUGGGGUGCUCGAGUGGCGAACGGGUGAGUAACACGUGAGUAACCUGCCCUUGACUGUGGGAUAACUUCAGGAAACUGGGGCUAAUACCGGAUAGGAGCUCCUGCUGCAUGGUGGGGGUUGGAAAGUUUCGGCGGUUGGGGAUGGACUCGCGGCUUAUCAGCUUGUUGGUGGGGUAGUGGCUUACCAAGGCUAUGACGGGUAGCCGGCCUGAGAGGGUGACCGGCCACAUUGGGACUGAGAUACGGCCCAGACUCCUACGGGAGGCAGCAGUGGGGAAUAUUGCACAAUGGGCGGAAGCCUGAUGCAGCAACGCCGCGUGCGGGAUGACGGCCUUCGGGUUGUAAACCGCUUUCGCCUGUGACGAAGCGUGAGUGACGGUAAUGGGUAAAGAAGCACCGGCUAACUACGUG